UCAUCCAUGGAAUAUGAACAGUUUUCUCUUUCCAGAGUUGCUGCAUCUCAAAACAAACCCAUUGAUCAAAGAAGUUUCACUCAGAGCCUGAAUAGAUAUCCACCCUCUGAACGUUGUCAGAGUCCAUUUGCUGGAGCCAGUUUGUGCAGGACCUGAACAUCAAAGAAGUCAUCCUCAAGUUGAUCCUGUCACAUCACAGUCCUCGGCAGGAUUCAAAGAAAAUGAAUCCUUAACAAGUAUAGCGGUUCAACGCAAAGGUAGACAACUUCCUCUUUCUAGAUAGCUUAUUGCGCUCCUUUAAACAGGAGCAGGAUGACGGGGAUGCAAAAUAGAUCGAGAAAGAAUUGAUUUUUGAGUCAAAGGUUUAAAUGAUAA
Long non-coding RNA from Stylophora pistillata, 375 nucleotides. Lineage: Eukaryota; Metazoa; Cnidaria; Anthozoa; Scleractinia; Pocilloporidae. The record is from RefSeq and is a predicted model, not a curated record.